Molecule: unclassified non-coding RNA, 307 nt
Filed under: plant metagenome
Description: partial contains 5.8S ribosomal RNA, internal transcribed spacer 2, and large subunit ribosomal RNA
Rfam family: 5.8S ribosomal RNA (bases 1-105)
Source: RNAcentral
GAAAUGCGAUAAGUAGUGUGAAUUGCAGAAUUCAGUGAAUCAUCGAAUCUUUGAACGCACAUUGCGCCCUUUGGUAUUCCAAAGGGCAUGCCUGUUCGAGCGUCAUUUGUACCCUCAAGCUUUGCUUGGUGUUGGGCGUCUUGUCUCUAGCUUUGCUGGAGACUCGCCUUAAAGUAAUUGGCAGCCGGCCUACUGGUUUCGGAGCGCAGCACAAGGCGCACUCUCUAUCAGCAAAGGUCUAGCAUCCAUUAAGCCUUUUUUCAACUUUUGACCUCGGAUCAGGUAGGGAUACCCGCUGAACUUAAGC